RNAcentral lists this transfer RNA (77 nucleotides) under Desulfotalea psychrophila LSv54. RNAcentral's name for it is "tRNA-fMet (CAT) (tRNA-fMet-CAT-1 1 to 3)". It matches the Rfam family "tRNA". Rfam says of the family: Transfer RNA (tRNA) molecules are approximately 80 nucleotides in length. Their secondary structure includes four short double-helical elements and three loops (D, anti-codon, and T loops). Lineage: Bacteria; Pseudomonadati; Thermodesulfobacteriota; Desulfobulbia; Desulfobulbales; Desulfocapsaceae. The record is from RNAcentral. RNAcentral also lists the same sequence under 3 other names.
CGCGGGGUGGAGCAGUUUGGUAGCUCGUCGGGCUCAUAACCCGAAGGUCGUUGGUUCAAAUCCAGCCCCCGCUACCA